Molecule: ribosomal RNA, 440 nt
Filed under: uncultured bacterium
Lineage: Bacteria
Description: partial 16S ribosomal RNA
Rfam family: Bacterial small subunit ribosomal RNA
Source: RNAcentral
CCUACGGGUGGCAGCAGUGGGGAAUAUUGCACAAUGGGCGCAACCCUGAUGCAGCGACGCCGCGUGAGUGAAGAAGUAUUUCUGUAUGUAAAGCUCUUUUAGUAGGGAAGAAAAUGACGGUACCUGAUUAAGAAGCCCCGGCUAACUACGUGCCAGCAGCCGCGGUAAUACGUAGGGGGCAAGCGUUAUCCGGAUUUACUGGGUGUAAAGGGAGCGUAGACGGCAGCACAAGUCUGGAGGGAAAUGCCGGGGCUUAACCCCGGAACUGCUUUGGAAACUGUGCAGCUAGAGUGCAGUAGAGGUAGGUGGAAUUCCUGGUGUAGCGGUGAAAUGCGUAGAGAUUAGGAGGAACACCGGUGGCGAAGGCGGCUUACUGGACUGUAACUGACGUUGAGGCUCGAAAGCGUGGGGAGCAAACAGGAUUAGAUACCCGGGUAGUC